GGGAAGCGUUUAGCUUCAAUUGGAUUGGAGAACACUGAGGCUAACCGCCAGGCGUAUAGGACCCUACUUGUUUCGGUUCCUGGACUUGGGGACUAUAUCUCUGGUGCCAUCCUCUUUGAGGAGACACUUUAUCAAUCAACUGUCGAAGGAAAGAAAAUUGUUGAUGUGCUGGUUGAGCAAAACAUUGUUCCUGGUAUUAAGGUUGACAAGGUAAAAUAUCUAACCUUAGUGAUUUAAAAGGUCUUAAGUUUCUUUGGUCAUGAAUUUCCAAGAGUUUGAAUAUUCACAGGGUCUUGUUCCCUUGGCUGGCUCAAACGAUGAAUCAUGGUGUCAAGGUCUAGAUGGCCUUGCCU
This 353-nucleotide long non-coding RNA is filed under the name Nicotiana benthamiana. RNAcentral's name for it is "long non-coding RNA (NBEN_LNC011869)". Lineage: Eukaryota; Viridiplantae; Streptophyta; Magnoliopsida; Solanales; Solanaceae. The record is from RNAcentral.